RNAcentral lists this unclassified non-coding RNA (214 nucleotides) under Pyrenochaetopsis leptospora. RNAcentral's name for it is "partial internal transcribed spacer region". The stretch from base 1 to 46 matches the Rfam family "Eukaryotic small subunit ribosomal RNA", at positions 1786 to 1831 of the family's 1831-position model. The record is from RNAcentral. RNAcentral also lists the same sequence under 2 other names. Lineage: Eukaryota; Fungi; Ascomycota; Dothideomycetes; Pleosporales; Pyrenochaetopsidaceae.
AAGUCGUAACAAGGUUUCCGUAGGUGAACCUGCGGAAGGAUCAUUAUCAAAACAGCGGACUUCGGUCCUUGCUGCACCCUUGUCUUUUGCGUACCGUAUGUUUCCUCGGCGGGCUUGCCUGCCGGUUGGACAUUAUCAAACCUUUUUGUAGUUGCAAUCAGCGUCAGAAAAUAAACAAUAAUUACAACUUUCAACAACGGAUCUCUUGGUUCUG